GGUCUGGCUGCAAAGAACUCCAACAAACACACAUACCUACGCUGAUGCAAAAAUAUCUUCAGACAGCCUCCUCUGCUGCUUGUGAGCUACAAAAUCUCCCCUCCCUGGUUCUCAGACAUCCUGCAGGGGGACUGGUGAAGCCAGCAUGCCUUCAGAAUGAUUAAUCCGCUUGCCUUUCCCGGGGCUGUUUUGCUGGGCCCACGGCCACUGCCAAGAAAGGACACACUGUGACCACCAUCACCAGAGAGUGAAGGCACAGCCUCGAAACCCAAGGAUAGCCUGGACCUGGUACCGAGAGGGAAUCAUAAAAUAAAUUAUGCUGUGUGGUUUGGGAAGGUAGGCUUUUAUGUCCAGCCAAGUUUCAGAAACAAAUUGUGGAGUGGUCAGUUGCCCUCAUUUCAUCUCUUCCUCUAUAUAGUUAGGAAAUUAAUUAAACUUGGAUUUGGAGUGUCAAGGGCAAGGUACUAAAGUCUCCCAAAACAAGCGGCCCCUGCCCCCUCCCCUGGCUGGACACAGCUUCUCAACCCUCACUGGCCUCCAAGCUCAGUGGGAAGUAUCUCAGCCUAACAGAAGGUGGCCAAAAAAAAUAGGCCCUUGGAGGUUCAAGGUCUCCCGGGGAGCUGCCUGGGACCUUGUGAGGACUGA
This 645-nucleotide long non-coding RNA is filed under the name Dasypus novemcinctus (nine-banded armadillo). RNAcentral's name for it is "lncRNA (ENSDNOG00000052006.1)". Lineage: Eukaryota; Metazoa; Chordata; Mammalia; Cingulata; Dasypodidae. The record is from RNAcentral.